This is a long non-coding RNA of Dermacentor silvarum, 943 nucleotides long. RefSeq lists it as uncharacterized. The transcript has 2 exons. The record is from RefSeq and is a predicted model, not a curated record. NCBI's taxonomy places the organism in Eukaryota, Metazoa, Arthropoda, Arachnida, Ixodida, Ixodidae.
UUGAUCACAUGUCUGAACUUCUGUUGUCACUGAGCGGUUCUUUGAUCAUUAGCGUAGGCUGUCUGUUUUCUACAUAUUAUAUUACAGCAAUGGCGUCAGAGUAGCUGCAAAAAUGGGAUUUUGCUGUACAAUCGCAGAUUGGUUGCUUUUCUGACUGUUGCAUUGCUCUAUUUGCUGCAACUGCCGCCAAAUGUUGCUUUACCAUGUCUGGUGAAUGCCUUAAACGUGAACCACAUUUGGAUGAUGCUUGUGAAAGUAUAACAUACUCCUUGUAUGUAAAGAAAACUAUCACACCGGUAGGUGUGGUGGAGUCACUGAUGAAAUAGAAGUUGAAAAAUGAAAGUUCUCGCAAAAUUUGGAAGUGUUCAUGGCGCUUGCCAUCAAAAAUGUGUAACAAUCCAAGCAAACAUAAAGAUAACCUACCUAUCCUAAAGAAUAUGAAAGUGAUGCGUCAAGUUGAAAGAGUUGAGAUUAUAUAGGAUUCAGUGCAAUUCAUGUUUAAUCAGCUUGGCAAUCUUGUCAAAAUGACCAAAUAAAAUUGUGACUUUUAAGAGAUUGCCAUGAUAACGUGACGAGGUUGCUGGCAUUAUUUGGUGCUUGGGAAACAAAGCAUCACAGGUAUGUGGUGAUUGAGCUUCUCAAAAAAGAAAUUAGGUGUGCCACUAAAGAUAUCUAAUGAAUUGAACCCAUAAACCACUGAAAGAAGAGUGUGCAAAGGCAAAUGGCUACAGCUAUAUUUGCACAGUAAUAUAAAAGUUGUAAUCGGGCUGAUGGUGCACAGGUGAUGGAUGUAUAUUGUAUGUUCGAGGGCUUAAUUUUUCAUGAGCUACUCAUUUUUGUUUUCCUGUUUUGUUUCCAUGUGCCUUAGUGAGUGGAAUGCCUGACUGCAGACUCCCGUCAUUAUGUACAAUUAAUGAAAAGUAAAGUAAAUUUUUCUAUGGAA